UUUCCUCCUCUCCUUUUUUCCCUCCCCUUUCCCUUUCUUGUAUUCCGGAAAGUAUGCCUGUUUGAGGGUCAGUUAAAUAAAAAUCGGUGUUGUUGCUGCUUUUCGUGGUGACGCGUCGGAAUUGAGUUGUCUUACCUUCGGUUAAGUGACUUAAAAUUUUGCAUGAUUUUCGAACGUAUUUAAAUUUCUUACGUACGUUUGAGAUAUCGAAUACUUUAUUAGGUUCGGUCAUCCUCAUGAUUCGCACCUAUAAUUUUUCAUUAAAUGACCUCAAAUCAGGUAAGAAUACCCGCUGAACUUA
This 301-nucleotide unclassified non-coding RNA is filed under the name Glomus sp. RNAcentral describes it as "partial contains 5.8S ribosomal RNA, internal transcribed spacer 2, and large subunit ribosomal RNA". Lineage: Eukaryota; Fungi; Glomeromycota; Glomeromycetes; Glomerales; Glomeraceae. The record is from RNAcentral.